Molecule: ribosomal RNA, 252 nt
Filed under: uncultured bacterium
Lineage: Bacteria
Description: partial 16S ribosomal RNA
Rfam family: Bacterial small subunit ribosomal RNA
Source: RNAcentral
UACCUACGGGACGCAGCAGUGGGGAAUAUUGCACAAUGGGGGAAACCCUGAUGCAGCAACGCCGCGUGAGAGAAGAAGUAUUUCGGUAUGUAAAGCUCUAUCAGCAGGGAAGAAGAAAGACGGUAACUGACUAAGAAGCCCCGGCUAACUACGUGACAGCAGCCGCGGUAAUACGUAGGGGGCAAGCGUUAUCCGGAUUUACUGGGUGUAAAGGGAGCGUAGACGGCUGUGCAAGUCUGAUGUGAAAGCCUU